UAGGGAAUCUUCGGCAAUGGACGGAAGUCUGACCGAGCAACGCCGCGUGAGUGAAGAAGGUUUUCGGAUCGUAAAGCUCUGUUGUUAGAGAAGAACGUUGGGUAGGAGUGGAGAAUCUACCAAGUGACGGUAACUAACCAGAAAGGGACGGCUAACUACGUGCCAGCAGCCGCGGUAAUACGUAGGUCCCGAGCGUUGUCCGGAUUUAUUGGGCGUAAAGCGAGCGCAGGCGGUUCUUUAAGUCUGAAGUUAAAGGCAGUGGCUUAACCAUUGUACGCUUUGGAAACUGGAGGACUUGAGUGCAGAAGGGGAGAGUGGAAUUCCAUGUGUAGCGGUGAAAUGCGUAGAUAUAUGGAGGAACACCGGUGGCGAAAGCGGCUCUCUGGUCUGUAACUGACGCUGAGGCUCGAAAGCGUGGGGAGCAAACAGG
Molecule: ribosomal RNA, 430 nt
Filed under: Bacillota bacterium
Lineage: Bacteria; Bacillati; Bacillota
Description: Firmicutes bacterium partial 16S ribosomal RNA
Rfam family: Bacterial small subunit ribosomal RNA
Source: RNAcentral